AUACGUAGGGAGCGAGCGUUACCCGGAAUUACUGGGCGUAAAGAGCACGUAGGCGGUUGGAUAAGUCUUCUGUGAAAGCUCCUGGCUCAACUGGGAGAGGUCAGGGGAUACUAUUCGACUUGAGGGCUGUAGAGGUAAGCGGAAUUCCCGGUGUAGCGGUGAAAUGCGUAGAUAUCGGGAGGAGCACCAGCGGCGAAAGCGGCUUACUGGGCAGUGCCUGACGCUGAGGUGCGAGAGCGUGGGGAGCAAACUGGAUUAGAAACCCCAGUAGUCC
Molecule: ribosomal RNA, 274 nt
Filed under: uncultured bacterium
Lineage: Bacteria
Description: partial 16S ribosomal RNA
Rfam family: Bacterial small subunit ribosomal RNA
Source: RNAcentral